AAUCGUGACAUACAACCCCGGGUCCUGGAAGAGCUAUUUAAGCUGCAGCCUAAUCAAACCUCGGGUAUUAUCGAAACUCCGCUGGGCUUGGAGAUCGUAAAAGUGUACGAAAACAACGGCGGCAAGCUUAAGGCAGCGCAUAUAGUGUUCGGAUUUAACCAGCUUAGCCAGUACCUUGAACCGAUCAAAAAAGAAAAUUCGCCCUCUCGCUUUGUUAGCAUGUAGGCGAAGAUGAUUGCUUUUUUCAAAACAGUUUGCUAAAAUUACCCCUGUUGAUCUUC
This 281-nucleotide unclassified non-coding RNA is filed under the name plant metagenome. RNAcentral's name for it is "partial contains 5.8S ribosomal RNA, internal transcribed spacer 2, and large subunit ribosomal RNA". The record is from RNAcentral.